Molecule: ribosomal RNA, 253 nt
Filed under: uncultured bacterium
Lineage: Bacteria
Description: partial 16S ribosomal RNA
Rfam family: Bacterial small subunit ribosomal RNA
Source: RNAcentral
UACGGGGGGGGCAAGCGUUGUUCGGAAUUACUGGGCGUAAAGGGCUCGUAGGUGGCCAACUAAGUCAGACGUGAAAUCCCUCGGCCUAACCGGGGAACUGCGUCUGAUACUGGAUGGCUUGAGUUCGGGAGAGGGAUGCGGAAUUCCAGGUGUAGCGGUGAAAUGCGUAGAUAUCUGGAGGAACACCGGUGGCGAAGGCGGCAUCCUGGACCGACACUGACACUGAGGAGCGAAAGCCAGGGGAGCAAACGGG